CAAUAGCGUAUAUUAAAGUUGUUGCAGUUAAAAAGCUCGUAGUUGGAUUUGUGGCGUACGGUGUGUUCCGGGCACUUGUUGUCUGAGUAACCUGCUGUUGCCAUCCUUGGGUGGAACCUGUGUGGCAUUAGGUUGUCGUGCAGGGGAUGCCCAUCAUUUACUGUGAAAAAAUUAGAGUGUUCAAAGCAGGCUUAUGCCGUUGAAUAUAUUAGCAUGGAAUAAUGAGAUAGGACUUUUUUGCUAUUUUGUUGGUUUGCGCAAAGAGGUAAUGAUUAAUAGGGACAGUUGGGGGUAUUCGUAUUCCAUUGUCAGAGGUGAAAUUCUUGGAUUUUUUGGAAGACGAACUACUGCGAAAGCAUUUACCAAGGAUGUUUUCAUUAA
RNAcentral lists this ribosomal RNA (381 nucleotides) under uncultured eukaryote. RNAcentral describes it as "partial 18S ribosomal RNA". It matches the Rfam family "Eukaryotic small subunit ribosomal RNA", at positions 592 to 976 of the family's 1831-position model. The record is from RNAcentral.